UAGGGAGUAUUCGGCAAUGGGGGAAACCCUGACCGAGCAACGCCGCGUGAAGGAUGAAGGUCCUCGGAUUGUAAACUUCUGUGAUAGGGGAUGAAUAGUAAAGGUAGGAAAUGACUUUUACCUGACAGUACUCUAUUAGAAAGCUACGACUAACUACGUGCCAGCAGUCGCGGUAAUACGUAGGUAGCAAGCGUUAUCCGGAAUUAUUGGGCGUAAAGAGUGAGCAGGCGGUUUGAAAAGUCUGAUGUAAAAUGCUGUCGCUUAACGACAGUUCGCUUCAGAAACUAUCUUACUAGAGUGCGGGAGAGGUAAGCGGAAUUCCAUAUGUAGCGGUGAAAUGCAUAGAUAUAUGGAGGAACACCAGUGGCGAAGGCGGCUUACCAGUCCGAUACUGACGCUCAGUCACGAAAGCGUGGGUAGCAAAUAGG
Molecule: ribosomal RNA, 428 nt
Filed under: uncultured bacterium
Lineage: Bacteria
Description: bacterial SSU rRNA
Rfam family: Bacterial small subunit ribosomal RNA
Source: RNAcentral